CCUAUAACUAAUUUCUUCUAUUUAAUCUCGAAGUUUCUGCCAUUUUUUUGUUAUGAAUUCAUGGUGGCUACCGCUGGCCAAAUCUACUGCCUUUUUGCUCAAGGUUUUAGCUACCAUUUUGAUGAUGAUGAUGGGGGUUCGAGGUGUGUUGAUGAAGAAUUUGAUAAUGUUGAUGGGCGGCUGAAGGAAGGGAAAUAGUGGCGAAUUUGGGGCGAUGGGUGAAAGGCAAGGGAAUGUUGGUGGUUUUGAUUGAUGGUUUUGGGCGAUGGCUGAAGGCAGGGGAAUGGUGGUGGCUUUGGUCGAUGGUUGAAAGCAAGGGAUGAGGGGGGAAACAAAAAGAUUUAUUUUUUCAGCAAAAGCAAAAUUGACUUGGACCAAGUAAUAUCAGAAAUGGGUUUGUUGGAGUGUGAGGAAGAGGAUGGAAG
This 425-nucleotide long non-coding RNA is filed under the name Olea europaea subsp. europaea. Lineage: Eukaryota; Viridiplantae; Streptophyta; Magnoliopsida; Lamiales; Oleaceae. The record is from RNAcentral.